Molecule: small RNA, 212 nt
Filed under: Xanthobacter tagetidis
Lineage: Bacteria; Pseudomonadati; Pseudomonadota; Alphaproteobacteria; Hyphomicrobiales; Xanthobacteraceae
Description: Bradyrhizobiaceae sRNA BjrC174
Rfam family: Bradyrhizobiaceae sRNA BjrC174
Source: Rfam by way of RNAcentral
AUCACGCCAACGUCAAUGGAAUCACAGUCUCGCCGGAAUUCGAACAACCGCACGCCAACGGGCCGGGCGAUCUUCAUACCCGUAGCAGGGCCGGUUCGCGAGGCGCUCCGACCUAUCCCAGCCCCCCAGCCCCCGGGGCGCGCGCGAGCCGGCCACUGCUACGCACCGUUUCUAUCCAGACCCCCGAAGGCCGCCGAAAGGCGGCCUCUUUU